RNAcentral lists this ribosomal RNA (2340 nucleotides) under Campylobacter jejuni. RNAcentral's name for it is "bacterial LSU rRNA". It matches the Rfam family "Bacterial large subunit ribosomal RNA", at positions 582 to 2925 of the family's 2925-position model. The record is from RNAcentral. Lineage: Bacteria; Pseudomonadati; Campylobacterota; Epsilonproteobacteria; Campylobacterales; Campylobacteraceae.
AGCAAUACAGGGUGAUGGACUGCCUUUUGCAUAAUGAGCCUGCGAGUUGUGGUGUCUGGCAAGGUUAAGCAAACGCGAAGCCGUAGCGAAAGCGAGUCUGAAUAGGGCGCUUAGUCAGAUGCUGCAGACCCGAAACGAAGUGAUCUAUCCAUGAGCAAGUUGAAGCUAGUGUAAGAACUAGUGGAGGACUGAACCCAUAGGCGUUGAAAAGCCCCGGGAUGACUUGUGGAUAGGGGUGAAAGGCCAAUCAAACUUCGUGAUAGCUGGUUCUCUCCGAAAUAUAUUUAGGUAUAGCGUUGUGUCGUAAUAUAAGGGGGUAGAGCACUGAAUGGGCUAGGGCAUACACCAAUGUACCAAACCCUAUCAAACUCCGAAUACCUUAUAUGUAAUCACAGCAGUCAGGCGGCGAGUGAUAAAAUCCGUCGUCAAGAGGGAAACAACCCAGACUACCAGCUAAGGUCCCUAAAUCUUACUUAAGUGGAAAACGAUGUGAAGUUACUUAAACAACCAGGAGGUUGGCUUAGAAGCAGCCAUCCUUUAAAGAAAGCGUAAUAGCUCACUGGUCUAGUGAUUUUGCGCGGAAAAUAUAACGGGGCUAAAGUAAGUACCGAAGCUGUAGACUUAGUUUACUAAGUGGUAGGAGAGCGUUCUAUUUGCGUCGAAGGUAUACCGGUAAGGAGUGCUGGAGCGAAUAGAAGUGAGCAUGCAGGCAUGAGUAGCGAUAAUUAAUGUGAGAAUCAUUAACGCCGUAAACCCAAGGUUUCCUACGCGAUGCUCGUCAUCGUAGGGUUAGUCGGGUCCUAAGUCGAGUCCGAAAGGGGUAGACGAUGGCAAAUUGGUUAAUAUUCCAAUACCAACAUUAGUGUGCGAUGGAAGGACGCUUAGGGCUAAGGGGGCUAGCGGAUGGAAGUGCUAGUCUAAGGUCGUAGGAGGUUAUACAGGCAAAUCCGUAUAACAAUACUCCGAGAACUGAAAGGCUUUUUGAAGUCUUCGGAUGGAUAGAAGAACCCCUGAUGCCGUCGAGCCAAGAAAAGUUUCUAAGUUUAGCUAAUGUUGCCCGUACCGUAAACCGACACAGGUGGGUGGGAUGAGUAUUCUAAGGCGCGUGGAAGAACUCUCUUUAAGGAACUCUGCAAAAUAGCACCGUAUCUUCGGUAUAAGGUGUGGUUAGCUUUGUAUUAGGAUUUACUCCGAAAGCAAGGAAACUUACAACAAAGAGUCCCUCCCGACUGUUUACCAAAAACACAGCACUCUGCUAACUCGUAAGAGGAUGUAUAGGGUGUGACGCCUGCCCGGUGCUCGAAGGUUAAUUGAUGGGGUUAGCAUUAGCGAAGCUCUUGAUCGAAGCCCGAGUAAACGGCGGCCGUAACUAUAACGGUCCUAAGGUAGCGAAAUUCCUUGUCGGUUAAAUACCGACCUGCAUGAAUGGCGUAACGAGAUGGGAGCUGUCUCAAAGAGGGAUCCAGUGAAAUUGUAGUGGAGGUGAAAAUUCCUCCUACCCGCGGCAAGACGGAAAGACCCCGUGGACCUUUACUACAGCUUGACACUGCUACUUGGAUAAGAAUGUGCAGGAUAGGUGGGAGGCUUUGAGUAUAUGACGCCAGUUGUAUAUGAGCCAUUGUUGAGAUACCACUCUUUCUUAUUUGGGUAGCUAACCAGCUUGAGUUAUCCUCAAGUGGGACAAUGUCUGGUGGGUAGUUUGACUGGGGCGGUCGCCUCCCAAAUAAUAACGGAGGCUUACAAAGGUUGGCUCAGAACGGUUGGAAAUCGUUCGUAGAGUAUAAAGGUAUAAGCCAGCUUAACUGCAAGACAUACAAGUCAAGCAGAGACGAAAGUCGGUCUUAGUGAUCCGGUGGUUCUGUGUGGAAGGGCCAUCGCUCAAAGGAUAAAAGGUACCCCGGGGAUAACAGGCUGAUCUCCCCCAAGAGCUCACAUCGACGGGGAGGUUUGGCACCUCGAUGUCGGCUCAUCGCAUCCUGGGGCUGGAGCAGGUCCCAAGGGUAUGGCUGUUCGCCAUUUAAAGCGGUACGCGAGCUGGGUUCAGAACGUCGUGAGACAGUUCGGUCCCUAUCUGCCGUGGGCGUAAGAAGAUUGAAGAGAUUUGACCCUAGUACGAGAGGACCGGGUUGAACAAACCACUGGUGUAGCUGUUGUUCUGCCAAGAGCAUCGCAGCGUAGCUAAGUUUGGAAAGGAUAAACGCUGAAAGCAUCUAAGCGUGAAGCCAACUCUAAGAUGAAUCUUCUCUAAGCUCUCUAGAAGACUACUAGUUUGAUAGGCUGGGUGUGUAAUGGAUGAAAGUCCUUUAGCUGACCAGUACUAAUAGAGCGUUUGGCUUAUCU